Molecule: long non-coding RNA, 691 nt
Organism: Passer montanus (Eurasian tree sparrow)
Lineage: Eukaryota; Metazoa; Chordata; Aves; Passeriformes; Passeridae
Exons: 3
Source: RefSeq, a predicted model, not a curated record
GCAUAACUAAACUAGGUGAAGGUGACACAAGAGUCGCUGUGUAGAAAACUUGCUGCUUUCUGCAGACUCAAGUGAUCACACAUUUAAAUCACAGAGUGGCUGAAAAUAAAAUAGGUGUCAGUGAAUGAAAAUAUUUGACAAAAGCAGGCAAGCAGAUGACCAAGACUUAUGCUCAGAUCCCAUUCAGUGCUGUGCCAAAAUAAGAAGGGACAUCGUGUUGCUAAGAAGACAAGGACCUAGAAUGUGCACAUCCAAAGCUGACAGUCAGAAGUCAUGGUUUUUCACAACAAUCAGCAUUGAGGAAUUCCUGUGCAUGUGCAGUAAGGCAUCUCCCCUUGCACUUGCAUGGCAUAGGACAGGAUACUGAGGGACGUAUUCUUGUGAACAUCUGCGUUUGUUGAUUCAGUGUGUGUGGGAAGAGGAAGGGGGAAGCACAGAAAGCAUCUCAAAAAAAGAAAAGUUUACAUGGAAUUUUUGGAGUGAUCUGUCUUUCUGUUAAAAAGCUAGUUUUUUUCUUUUGAAACAAGCAGAGUAAGAUUUUGCACUUGCCUGCUGCAUCUGUUUUCUCAAGCAAAGACCUGUUUGUUUUUCCCAUUGUGUGUGAACCAUAUUUGAAACAGACCACUGAGCCAAGUUACAUCAAGUCUGUUUCUUUUCUACUUCUGAACUAUGACAGAUUAUCCUAACCCAU